RNAcentral lists this ribosomal RNA (417 nucleotides) under uncultured bacterium. RNAcentral describes it as "bacterial SSU rRNA". It matches the Rfam family "Bacterial small subunit ribosomal RNA", at positions 89 to 518 of the family's 1533-position model. The record is from RNAcentral.
GACUUAGUGGCGGACGGGUGAGUAACGCGUGGGGUAACCUGCCGUACACAGGGGGACAACAGUUGGAAACGGCUGCUAAUACCGCAUAAGCGCACAGUGACCGCAGUGGCGCAGUGUGAAAAAGCCGAGACGGUGUACGAUGGACCCGCGUCUGAUUAGGUAGUUGGUGAGGUAACGGCCCACCAAGCCGACGAUCAGUAGCCGGCCUGAGAGGGUGAACGGCCACAUUGGGACUGAGACACGGCCCAAACUCCUACGGGAGGCAGCAGUGGGGAAUAUUGCACAAUGGGGGGAACCCUGAUGCAGCGAACCGCCGCGUGAGUGAAGAAGUAUUUCGGUAUGUAAAGCUCUAUCAGCAGGGAAGAAGAUGACGGUACCUGCACAAGAAGCCCCGGCUAACUACGUGCCAGCAGCCGC